RNAcentral lists this long non-coding RNA (359 nucleotides) under Ananas comosus (pineapple). RNAcentral describes it as "long non-coding RNA (ACOM_LNC013852)". The record is from RNAcentral. Lineage: Eukaryota; Viridiplantae; Streptophyta; Magnoliopsida; Poales; Bromeliaceae.
UUAAUUUUAUAUGUAUAAUUCACAAAACGCUACUACUAUUUUAUGUAAUAAAAAAAAAACUAAAUUACAGAAAAUCCACGUAUAAAUAUUUAUUUUUUAUUGUUUCUUUCUAACUUUCAAAAACUUAUAUUUUACACCCUCAACAUUUCAAGGUAUUGUAUUUAGCCCCUCUCCGUCAGGAUUCCAUCACUAUUCCGUCCAUUUCUCAUAAUUUGUACUAAAACUAUCCUUCAAAAUAACAAAAAUAUUUUUUUUAAAAAAAUAAGAAUAAUUUGAUUAUUUUGCCUUCUUAAUUAAUGCUAUACUCUUUGUAAAUAUCUUUAAAAUUUUAAAUAAAGAGCUAAAAAUAUAAAUUUUUU